AUGCCCGACCCGCCGCAGCUUGCGCCGCCUCCUACAUCGAGCCCCGCUGUCCGCAUCCCCGCGGCGUCGCCAUCUUCAUCCGCGUGCACUUGGCGAUGGCGCCACCCACUGCCGGCCCUUGGACCGUGCUGCUCGAGCGCGGCGCCGGCUCUCGAUCCAUCCGGAGACGGAGAUGGAGAUGUCGCAGCGGAGCAGAAGCAGACGCUCGAUGCGGCGCUCCCCCGUCCCUCUUCCUCCUGCAUCAACUGCAUGCGCUCGAUUCGGAGACGAACGAGUUGGGCUCGGACGUUGCCGGCCGCCUGUUUGGUCUGCAAGAGGAUGCUCCCCUCUCCCUCUGUAAUUAACAGGCAAGGUACCAUCUUUCUCUCUCAGAUAUGA
RNAcentral lists this ribosomal RNA (378 nucleotides) under Triticum aestivum (bread wheat). Its description in RNAcentral is "partial small subunit ribosomal RNA". Lineage: Eukaryota; Viridiplantae; Streptophyta; Magnoliopsida; Poales; Poaceae. The record is from RNAcentral.